CCUCGUUCCGCUUGAGUUGUGAUG
This 24-nucleotide microRNA is filed under the name Eisenia fetida (common brandling worm). RNAcentral's name for it is "Efe-Mir-67-P3_5p* (star (passenger))". The record is from RNAcentral. Lineage: Eukaryota; Metazoa; Annelida; Clitellata; Crassiclitellata; Lumbricidae.